AUGCUGGAAUUAACUUGCUAUGCGCGUACUUACAAUCUCUCAUAUUGUUCUUGCUCACGAGUUUAUUCCAAAGCCACUUGUAUGCAUCUCUACAAUAUGUGGUUGUCACUAAUGCUGUUCACCAAGUAUUUUGAACAUCCUACCUUCCGGCCAUUGAUUGGGAUUGCAUUUCUUGGUCCUGUUUGGUUGGGUGAGGCCAUAGGACUAGUUCUGGCUGGUGAAAUUUUUUCUGGAAAUUUUCUUCCUUGCCUCAGGAAGCUGUUCACAGGAUGUGUGGACCAGUGCUUCGCUGACUCAGCAGGGCCCACUGCCAUCUCCAGAGCGCCUCACCUUAAUACUCCAUGCUGCCCUAGAGUUGCAACAAAGCACCCUGGACUGGAGCUGUGUCCACAGCCAAUCAGCUGGCAACCCCAGUGAGUCUCACAGAGGUGGAGGGCAGGGGAGCCAGCGUUCACCCUGUUUCCUGUGGUCUCCACUGGUCCAUUUGUUGCAUAAAAGAUGGACUAAGCUGAAACCUUGGCCUAGACACUCGCAAGGUAUGUGACUUGAAGGCAUUUAAUCUCAUGUAGAGGAUGAGUGCUGGGGUUCACAGCACCCACACCUCGUAGCAAUGUCCUACCCAGUAAAUAGAUGAACACGGAUUAUAUACUCAACCCAGAGCCUCUAACAUGAUGAAGUGCGAAUGGGUAGCUUCCAUCAUGGAGUGAUAAAGAAUAAGGAAGAUCUCUAUGAAUGGAUGGGGAGUGAUUUCCAGUGGGGCUCAAACCAACAACCCCAAGAUCAAGUCACAUGCUCUACUGAGCCAGCUAAACACCCUACUACUUAGUGUCAGAAAAGUUUGGGCACCUGGCUGCUUGGUCAGUGGGACAUGAAACUCUUGAUUUCAGGGUUGUGAAUUCAAGUCCCACACUGAGCGUAGAGAUUACUUAAAAACAGAAUCUUGGGGAUCCCUGGGUGGCUCAGCGGUUUGGCGCCUGCCUUUGGCCCGGGGUGUGAUCCUGGAGUCCCGGGAUCGAGUCCCACAUCAGGCUCCCUGCAUGGAGCAUGCUUCUCCCUCUGCCUGUGUCUCUGCCUCUCUCUGUGUCUCUCAUGAAUAAAUAAAUAAAUCUUUCAAAAAAAAAAUAAAAA
This 1128-nucleotide long non-coding RNA is filed under the name Canis lupus dingo (dingo). Its description in RNAcentral is "lncRNA (ENSCAFG00020020295.1)". The record is from RNAcentral. Lineage: Eukaryota; Metazoa; Chordata; Mammalia; Carnivora; Canidae.